This 157-nucleotide microRNA precursor is filed under the name Pelobates cultripes (western spadefoot toad). The record is from RNAcentral. Lineage: Eukaryota; Metazoa; Chordata; Amphibia; Anura; Pelobatidae.
GCAGACACAUUCCAGCCAAUCAGCAGCAGACCCUCCCUCCCAGACCCUCCCACCUCCUGGACAGCAUCCAUUUUGAAGCUGCAUUCUAAGUGAGCUGUCCAGGAGUUGGGAGGGUCUGGGAGGGAGGGUCUGCUGCUCAUUGGCUGGAAUGUGUCUG